AGUGAACGCUGGCGGUAGGCCUAACACAUGCAAGUCGAACGGCAGCACAGUAAGAGCUUGCUCUUACGGGUGGCGAGUGGCGGACGGGUGAGGAAUACAUCGGAAUCUACUCUUUCGUGGGGGAUAACGUAGGGAAACUUACGCUAAUACCGCAUACGACCUACGGGUGAAAGCAGGGGAUCUUCGGACCUUGCGCGAUUGAAUGAGCCGAUGUCGGAUUAGCUAGUUGGCGGGGUAAAGGCCCACCAAGGCGACGAUCCGUAGCUGAUCUGAGAGGAUGAUCAGCCACACUGGAACUGAGACACGGUCCAGACUCCUACGGGAGGCAGCAGUGGGGAAUAUUGGACAAUGGGCGCAAGCCUGAUCCAGCCAUACCGCGUGGGUGAGGAAGGCCUUCGGGUUGUAAAGCCCUUUUGUUGGGAAAGAAAAGCAGCAGGUUAAUACCCCGCUGUUCUGACGGUACCCAAAGAAUAAGCACCGGCUAACUUCGUG
RNAcentral lists this ribosomal RNA (492 nucleotides) under uncultured bacterium. RNAcentral describes it as "partial 16S ribosomal RNA". It matches the Rfam family "Bacterial small subunit ribosomal RNA", at positions 29 to 507 of the family's 1533-position model. The record is from RNAcentral.